Long non-coding RNA from Salvelinus namaycush (lake trout), 209 nucleotides. RefSeq lists it as uncharacterized. The record is from RefSeq and is a predicted model, not a curated record. The transcript is spliced from 3 exons. NCBI's taxonomy places the organism in Eukaryota, Metazoa, Chordata, Actinopteri, Salmoniformes, Salmonidae.
CUAGUGGUCAACAUUGGGACAAUGCAGCCAUAAAUAACAUGGACCAAUAUUUUCAUGGAGUGAGCAAGACCUGCCAGCAGAGCUCACUGGAGCAGGGAGACAUCCCGUCAUCCUUUAGGCACCUGACAAAAUCAUCACAGCAGCCAAAGUUGCCGUGCAGAGGGAGGAGAUCCUCCGAGCAUCUGGCCUCAUCCCGUCACAGAGGGAGG